Molecule: unclassified non-coding RNA, 253 nt
Filed under: uncultured Oceanospirillales bacterium
Lineage: Bacteria; Pseudomonadati; Pseudomonadota; Gammaproteobacteria; Oceanospirillales
Description: contains 16S-23S intergenic spacer region
Rfam family: Bacterial small subunit ribosomal RNA
Source: RNAcentral
UCCGGAAGGUGCGAGCGUUAAUCGGAAUAACGCGUCGUAAAGCGCGCGUAGGUGCUUGAGUCAGUCAGAUGUGAAAGCCCCGGGCUUAACCUGGGAACUGCACCUGAUACUGCUUGACUAGAGUACGGUAGAGGGCAGUGGAAUUUCCUGUGUAGCGGUGAAAUGCGUAGAUAUAGGAAGGAACACCAGUGGCGAAGGCGACCACCUGGACUGAUACUGACACUGAGGUGCGAAAGCGUGGGGAGCAAACAGG